Nothobranchius furzeri (turquoise killifish) is the source of this 1013-nucleotide non-coding RNA. The record is from RefSeq and is a predicted model, not a curated record. NCBI's taxonomy places the organism in Eukaryota, Metazoa, Chordata, Actinopteri, Cyprinodontiformes, Nothobranchiidae.
AAUUCUGUUCAGGAGGUCACAUUUCAGGCUCUCCACAUCAUGUGUGACUGACUUUUACGUUAUAACAACGAUCACACACUAGGAAUGUUAUAAAGCGCCUAUAUAGGAGAUUCUUUUGUAUAUUAUCUGACUUUAUAAACUCCAACAACAAUGUGCUUCUAUUUUUUUUCAGGCUAAAUCUACCCAAGACACUGGUUGUCAGACUGAUUUAGCUGCAAGAAUGCACUUGUCCAGGCUGAUGUGAAACCUUCCCUGUAGCAAAGCCAGUCAGAAUGGAGUUCACAGCCGCAGUGUGUCUGGUGACCCACGGUGACCAUGAUGAAAAUUCAUCUUCCAGAAAGUCCCAGAGCGUCCAGACCCCCUGAAAAGACCAAGAUGUAAGGUGUCUGCUGUUGAUUCCAGCUUCCACCUCAGUGACAGUGCAAGCUCAGUGAACUGUUCAAGGUAAUAAAUAAAAAUUAAAACAUUUCAGAUUUUUUAAGAUAUUAACAAUUAAAUAAGUAUGUGAUUACAUCAUGACGGGGGCUACUGAUUCUGCCCCUGUGACACUUGGUGGUGACGUGUGAGCUGAUUCACCUGGAAAACAACUUUUACAUUAAAUAUUUUGUUUUUGCUAUCAAAAGUAAAUUAACUAAUAACCUGCAUUAUUGCAGGCCACUCAGCAAAAUAUGGACUCUACACCAUGAGGCAUGCACACAUUAAUAUUCUAUAAGAGCACAUAAGGUGAGCAACACCACAUAUUAUUGUACACUGUCCUGAAUUUGUUUUCUUUCUGCAUCUCAUUAGCCUGGCUGAUCACCUGAUAACUCCUGUCAUCUGGUUAUGACAGCAUGAGGAUGUCCUCACACACCUGUAACCUAUCAGCUCAUCUGGCAGAAUAGAGAGAGAAGAGACAACACCACAUCUCCUGUUCCUGGAAAGCCUUCAGCCAUCCUUUGAUGACUGAGAACCUCCAUCAGCUCUGUCUCCUGUCUGCCUACAAUUAUUAUAAUAAAUAUUGUGUUUGACAAGUU